Molecule: ribosomal RNA, 253 nt
Filed under: uncultured bacterium
Lineage: Bacteria
Description: partial 16S ribosomal RNA
Rfam family: Bacterial small subunit ribosomal RNA
Source: RNAcentral
UACAGAGGGGGCAAGCGUUGUUCGGAAUUACUGGGCGUAAAGGGCGCGUAGGCGGCCUUCUAAGUCGAACGUGAAAUCCCUGGACUCAACCCAGGAACUGCGUCCGAUACUGGAAGGCUUGAAUCCGGGAGAGGGAUGCGGAAUUCCAGGUGUAGCGGUGAAAUGCGUAGAUAUCUGGAGGAACACCGGUGGCGAAGGCGGCUGCCUGGGCCUGGCCUGACGCUGAGGCGCGAAAGCGUGGGGAGCGAUCCGG